GGUUUCCUCCUGCAGGGUGCAUCUGUAGAGGAGAGGCUUGAGAAAAAGGAGGAGCAGGACAAUGGCCUGGAUUUCUGGAGGCCUACUUUAAAGCUGCUCACUUCUGCAAGGAAGGAAAGGAGAAGGAGAGUGGAUCAAAUCUCUGGAGGACAGCCUGCUCUCUGCUAUAGGGCUUAAUACCACUGAAACAAAGCAAGGAGGGAGAAAUCGCAACAUAUCCGUGCAGGUUGGUAUGAGAGUGGGUACAAAUUUGGGUGGGGAAGUGGAGAUCAAUACUCGUCCACGA
This 286-nucleotide long non-coding RNA is filed under the name Ursus maritimus (polar bear). RNAcentral describes it as "lncRNA (ENSUMAG00000000957.1)". Lineage: Eukaryota; Metazoa; Chordata; Mammalia; Carnivora; Ursidae. The record is from RNAcentral.